Molecule: ribosomal RNA, 403 nt
Filed under: uncultured bacterium
Lineage: Bacteria
Description: partial 16S ribosomal RNA
Rfam family: Bacterial small subunit ribosomal RNA
Source: RNAcentral
AUUGAACGCUAGCGGGAUGCUUUACACAUGCAAGUCGAGCGAGCGGCGGACGGGUGAGUAAUGUAUGGGGACUGCCCGCUAGAGGGGGAUAACUACUGGAAACGGUAGCUAAUACCGCAGACUAUCGGAUAACCCAUAUGGGAUUAGCUAGUAGGUGAGGUAAUGGCUCACCUAGGCGACGAUCCCUAGCUGGUCUGAGAGGAUGAUCAGCCACAUUGGGACUGAGACACGGCCGACACUCCUACGGAGGCAGCAGUGGGGAUGAUUGCACAAUGGGCGCAGUCCUGCUACAGCCAUGCCGCGUGUAUGAAGAAGGCCCUAGGUUUGUAAAGUACUUUCAGUCGGGAGGCGUUACCGACAGAAGAAGCACCGGCUAACUCCGUGCCAGCAGCCGCGGUAAUAC